This 382-nucleotide ribosomal RNA is filed under the name uncultured bacterium. RNAcentral describes it as "bacterial SSU rRNA". It matches the Rfam family "Bacterial small subunit ribosomal RNA", at positions 30 to 414 of the family's 1533-position model. The record is from RNAcentral.
AUUGAACGCUGGCGGCAUGCCUUACACAUGCAAGUCGAACGGCAGCGCGGGGGCAACCUGGCGGCGAGUGGCGAACGGGUGAGUAAUAUAUCGGAACAUACCCUAGAGUGGGGGAUAACGUAGCGAAAGUUACGCUAAUACCGCAUACGCACUAAGGUGGAAAGUGGGGGAUCUUCGGACCUCAUGCUCAUGGAGUGGCCGAUAUCUGAUUAGCUAGUUGGUGAGGUAAAGGCUCACCAAGGCGACGAUCAGUAGCUGGUUUGAGAGAACGACCAGCCACACUGGAACUGAGACACGGUCCAGACUCCUACGGAGGCAGCAGUGGGGAAUUUUGGACAAUGGGGGCAACCCUGAUCCAGCAAUGCCGCGUGAGUGAAGAAGG